GAAGACUGUUUGGGCACAUUCUUUGGUUGUGCUGCACUUAAUCUCACAUUCACAAUCUUUUCAAGUGCAGCUUUAGUUUCAUGUGUUGUUUCCUCAAUCUCUUUCUGCAAAUCCUCAUCCUCAUCCGCAUCUCUAUCCUCAUCAUUCCUCAACAUCUUUGGAAUCAGAUCCUUAUGUUGAGAAUAAACAAUUUUCUUUGCAUUCUCAUUUUGCUUCACAAUGGCAUCAUA
RNAcentral lists this unclassified non-coding RNA (230 nucleotides) under Hevea brasiliensis (rubber tree). Lineage: Eukaryota; Viridiplantae; Streptophyta; Magnoliopsida; Malpighiales; Euphorbiaceae. The record is from RNAcentral.